RNAcentral lists this unclassified non-coding RNA (3669 nucleotides) under Hevea brasiliensis (rubber tree). Lineage: Eukaryota; Viridiplantae; Streptophyta; Magnoliopsida; Malpighiales; Euphorbiaceae. The record is from RNAcentral.
GAAUGCCUAGAGCUGGAAAAUUCCAAUCGUAAGAAAACUUUGGAGGCUAGCGACCAGCGAGCAAUAUUAUAGCCGCAUUAGGCUAUUAGUAUCAUUAGCGUGGCAGUACGGCACGCCGUACGACCGAGUUUAUCCCCGACCGCAACCGACGCUACAAGCAAAACUCAAGGUUCGCUAUUCCACAGCUGCGACUCCUUCUGUCUUUCUUGCCUAAGCCAAAGGCUGAAACAUGAUGAUGUGGGACGAUUGGGGCGAUUGCCACCAGGACCAUGACCAAGACUCAGACUCGCACCUUAAUUUCGAUUUCCUUUCCCUUGUCUCCAAGCCCAAGGAUUACUAUAAAAUACUGGAAGUGGAUUAUGAUGCCUGCGACGACGCAAUUCGCUCCAAUUACAUACGCCUCGCUCUGAAAUGGCAUCCGGAUAAGCAAAAAAACCAGGAUAGUGCGACUUCGAUAUUUCAAGAGAUAAAUGAGGCUUACCACGGUUAGUGUCAUUCUCUAUUUGUUUCGGAAUUCUUUGUUCCAUAGCUCUAUUUCACUUUUGGUGUUGGGUGAAUGAAAGUUCUGCCAAGACUUACUAUGUUGUUUCUGACUUAAUUUUGGUCUUCAGAGUUACGUUUGUGUACACGCACGUUGUUAGGUGUUAUAGUAAUGGUGCAUUUUGCUGCAUCCUUCAUCAUGUCAUUAUGGCACGAGUGGCCUUUUAGGAUGACUAGCAAGACGUGUCAUGCUUGUUCCUCCUUAGGAGAUAGAUUAUGAAGAACUGAAAUUUUUAUUUUGUGCUAAAAUUUGGAGUAAGAGUGUCAUGUGACACAGGUUUUUAGAGUUGAAAGGUUUGUAUUUGGAAUGCUUGUGAUGGGUUAUACUCAUUAAUUUAAAAGAUUUAAGAGUGGAAGGGGUGGUCAGGUGCAAGAGAAGUCAUUGUAAUGGUGGAGCCAAAUGCAAUUUGAAAAAUAUGUGGUCUAUGACUCUAUGGGCAUUGUGGAUCGUCGAAUGAUAUAGGCGAUAUUCUGAGGAAACAAAAACAUCAUGUGAACUAAAAUCCCUUGCUGAGUUUUACUGGUACUCUCUUAUCAUGUUUUCAGCACAUUACAUAUGUUACAGAAAUCUUCUGCUCCCAUUUUGGCUAUCAGGUUUUCUAGCAACUCCUUUUGGAAAUAAUUUUUGUGGUAAUUGUGUCACAAAAACUUUUGCAUUUCAUGCUUCAAGAUGUGUUUGGGUGAUAUUCAUUUGUUGGCAUCUUCACUUGUUUACUAGAUUUCAAUUUUUUGUGAUAUAGUUUCCCUCUUUUCUUUUCACAUGUAUAUUUCAAUUAUAGCGCUUGUUGGUGUCACACCAAUUUUCAUGCUUGCAUGGAUAUGGUAAUGGGGUUCAAAAGAUAGCCUUAGAUUAAUGAAUAAAGCUCAAACCCAGAAAAAAAUAUGGUUCUUUAUUCUCUUACAUCUUUCUUUCUUUAUUUAUUUAUCUUUCCUCUAUGUAUCUGAUAGAGUAAGGAGCCAAAAAAUGGUAAAUUGAAAGUUUGUGGAAAAGAGAAAGGCAGCAAGAAGAGUGUUUAUUCAGUAAUUCAAAAAAACAGGUGGGAUACAAGAAGUUCGGGAAAAUAAUUCCAGAAUACCUCUCUCUCACUCACCCCAGCAGUAUGGUUAACUACCCCAGGCUUCAAAAGCUGGAAAACAAAUACAAUACCCAAAUCAUGCCCAUCCCUCACUCAUUCUCUUAAUUAUAUAGACUCUGGAGCUGCUGCAUUCAGAUGGUUCCCGCAUUCCUCUCCAACAACCCUAUUCCAGCUGUACCCUUCUAGAAUAUGCUUCUUCACAUUCUGUCCCUUUUUUAUCCAUAUCCCUAUCAGUAUCUUAACUUAUGAGAGGCAUGGACUCCUUUUUUUAUUCUCAUUUUUACCUUUUUUCCUAGUAUUGUUCUUCUUCCUUAUACACAGCUUGGACUCAGCCUAACUACUUUAUAUUUGUACCAAAUGUUGCCAGUUGAUUCCCAUUCAAUCAAUCAUCUCUCACAAAGAUUUCAUAUUGUAAUUUUAGCCCAACCAUAAGUGCUAAAAAUGUGCGGCUGCUCAACCCAUUGAUCAGCCUCCCUAUGGAUAUGCAACGUCAUUGUCUCUGACAGCAUAAUACAAUAUCAAUAUCAAUAUCAAGUCUUGAGUUAUUUCUUCUUCACUUCUGAACUCCCUACUCAUUGCUCUGUUUUCUGGGGUUAAGCAGAAGGACUACUGCCUCACUUGAUCUAAAGUAUUGGAGAAUUUUGGACUGGUUCAUACAAAAAUGAACUUAAUCCUAAAUUAUUUCCUUUCAAUUUUGCAGGUGCUGCAUAAUUGGAUUUGCAUAGGUGGUUGUUUGUUUAUUUUAUUCUGAGUUUGCUGGUUACUUUUUGAUAGGAUUCUGGGAAUAUGAAAGAAUUUAAUCAUUUAAUGGACAUUUGUUUGCAUUUGUCCUUUUUUGGGAUUAAUGCGAAAAAGGAUUGCUAAACCCAUCUAGUUGGGGAUUAAGACUUAGUUGUUAUUGCUAUCCUUUUUUGAUUUUUGAGGUCUCAUUUGCCAUUUUAGUGACAAUUCUGUCAAAUGGGUAAAGAGUGUCUAGGGAAAAUGAGAAGGUGUCUAUCUGAUGGAACUUUAUUCCCAGCUCAGGACCAACUUUCUUUCCUUCUCAAAGAUGGAAAAAUUUCCUGGUUUGAAAGGCAUUUCUGAUUUUUUUAUUAGGCAAACCAAAAGGGCUAAACAGAAAAGGAAGAAAGCCAUCUGUGGGUCAGCUUCUCUUUAUAUAUCUAUAUAUAUUCAUUGUUGUUUACCUGUAUAAAGUAGAUCUGUAGUUUAUGUAGUAUGCCAAUAUAUGAACUUACUCAAGUCAUCUGAUUUCUUUAUUCAUUCCAAUUGUUAAACUUGAUGAUGCAUAUCAAAGGCUUUUGAACAGGCAAUGCUAUAGUUAUUUCAACAGAGUGAGAUUUAAUUGCUCGUCAACCAAUAUCAGCAAUUUGCACUUUAAUAUUUUGCAGUGAGUACAAUAGUACACCAUAUGCUGUAAUGGUGAAACUUAGUUUCUGGGAUCCAAAAUCCAAAUGGCUCAAACUAAGUCUAUAUCUUAUAUGCAGGGGAUGCCUAUGAUUGUGACUAAUUACUCUUUCUUGUUCACUAUUUUACUACAUAUCAUGAAAAUCAGUGUCUCUUCACAUCAUCAAAGAGCAUUCUAGUCGCUUUAAGAUUGCGUCUUAGUCCUUAACCCUUUUGUCUUUUUUUCCACCGAAUCAAUUGACCACAUGGAUUCCUUAGCACAAUUGCAUUUGCAUUAUGAUGCCAAGGAGUUAUCUGGGUUGAUAAUACUGAAUUUAUCAAUUGAUUCAUUGAAUCUAAAUAUUGAAGAAUAAAGGCAAAAAAUAUCACAUAUAUGUUGUAGAAGUUAUCUUGCAUGCCUAGCUAGCAAUUGAAUCUUGCUUCUUUGAACAGUUUUGAGUGAUCCUGCCAGGAGGAGAGAGUACGACAAGAAAGGGCUGCUGUACAUCCAUGAUUAUAACAUAAUUGUAAUACUCUUCCCCAUUUAUUAUCAAGCUGACACCCUUUAAUCCUUUUUUCCAUUUUGGCUUAAUUACUUCAUUUCAUCUAUUGGCUGCAGGAUUAUCUUAAUCGUUACAAGGGCCUCAUAUUAACAUGUAAUGGUCUUGGG